This 75-nucleotide transfer RNA is filed under the name Herelleviridae sp. Its description in RNAcentral is "tRNA-Trp". The record is from RNAcentral. Lineage: Duplodnaviria; Heunggongvirae; Uroviricota; Caudoviricetes; Herelleviridae.
GGGUCAGUAGCAAAUUGGUAACUACGGCGGUCUCCAAAAUCGCUCGGGUGGAUUCGAUUCCCACCGUCCCUGCCA